CUUAAAGGAAUUGACGGGAACCCGCACAAGCGGUGGAGUAUGUUGUUUAAUUCGAAGAUACACGAAGAACCUUACCAGGUCUUGACAUACCAUUGACAGGUGCAGAGAUGUACCCUUCCUCGGACAAUGGAUACAGGUGGUGCAUGGUUGUCGUCAGCUCGUGCCGUGAGGUGUUGGGUUAAGUCCCGCAACGAGCGCAACCCCUACUUUUAGUUGCCAGCAGUAAGAUGGGCACUCUAAAGGAACUGCCGGUGACAAACCGGAGGAAGGUGGGAUGACGUCAAAUCAUCAUGCCCUUUAUGUUCUGGGCUACACACGUGCUACAAUGGCCGGUACAGAGGGUAGCGAAGGAGCGAUCCGGAGCCAAUCCCAAAAAGCCGGUCUCAGUUCGGAUUGCAGGCUGCAACUCGCCUGCAUGAAGUCGGAAUCGCUAGUAAUCGCGAGUCAGCAUAUCGCGGUGAAUACGUUCCCGGGUCUU
This 478-nucleotide ribosomal RNA is filed under the name uncultured Cohnella sp. RNAcentral's name for it is "bacterial SSU rRNA". It matches the Rfam family "Bacterial small subunit ribosomal RNA", at positions 900 to 1382 of the family's 1533-position model. Lineage: Bacteria; Bacillati; Bacillota; Bacilli; Caryophanales; Paenibacillaceae. The record is from RNAcentral.